UCGGUCAGCAUUUCGUUUGGC
Molecule: unclassified non-coding RNA, 21 nt
Filed under: Chlamydomonas reinhardtii
Lineage: Eukaryota; Viridiplantae; Chlorophyta; Chlorophyceae; Chlamydomonadales; Chlamydomonadaceae
Description: small RNA Cre_2721
Source: RNAcentral